This is a non-coding RNA of Camelina sativa (false flax), 828 nucleotides long. The record is from RefSeq and is a predicted model, not a curated record. Lineage: Eukaryota; Viridiplantae; Streptophyta; Magnoliopsida; Brassicales; Brassicaceae.
UCUUAUGAGUGAUAUAUAUAUAUAUAUAUAUAUAUAUAUAUAUAUAUUUUAAUCUACAGAAACAUCUUAAACAUAAACAUCUACGAUAUGAAUCAAACAAAAAAUUUGAGGAUCAUCAACUCAUAUUUGGAUGUGGCUUAGCUACCGGUGGUUCCGCAAUUGGAAUAGGUGAUACCACUGAAGCUCGAAGAUUUAUUGGGGAGAGUAAAAGAGUGAGAGAUAACAUUAACUGUGAUGAAGCUUUCGAACAUUCAUGUCAAGAUCCAUCAUGGUCAAGAGAAUGUGAUAUAUCACCACCCUUUCAAGGCACAAAUCCAAAAGGACGGAUGGAAAAACUUCCUUCAAGGAAGAGGCCUAGAACCUUAGCUAUUAGCAAUGUGGAUAAGCUGAAAAUUGAUAAGGAGGAUCCUAUGAUCAUAGUUAGUAAUAGGAUCCUUAAUGUCAUACAACAAAGAGAAGAACGACAACAAAGAGAAGCUGAGAGAAAAUCUAAGACGGGAAGCUGAGGAAAAACAAGGGACUGUAUAUCAUGGAUCACACGAUUGGGAAGAGGAUGAAUCUCAUCAUGAAGAUGACGAAUCAGAAAUAGACAUUUUGGUAUUACAACGAUAAUAUACGACAAGAGCUUACUGUAUGAACAAACGUAUUGAGUGGUCAAUUCAUAAGCCUAUCACAAGAAUGGCUACAUUUACCUCAAGAAACUUCUUAAGAGAGAUCAUAAACGCUUUCGAGAGUAAAAAUUUUCACAAAGUUUUUGAUACAUUAAACAUGAUUGCACCAAGUUGGAUGGUCAAACCUGGACUCACAGUUCCUGCAAAAAUAAGAGAA